UACCUGAUUGAUUCUGUCAGCGCGAUAUGCUCAAGUAAAAGAUUAAGCCAUGCAUGCUUUGAUUCAUAAAUGAAAUUGCGUACGGCUCAUUAGAGCAGAUAUCACCUUUCUCGGAAUCCUGAAAAGGAUAACUGCGGAAAUUCUGGAGCUAAUACAUGCGACUAUACUCCAACGCAAGGCGGGGUGCAAUUAUUAGAACAGACCAAACGUUUUCGGCGUUGUUUGUUGACUCUGAAUACCGUCGUUUACUGUCAGUUUCGACUGACUCUAUCCGAGAAGGGUGUCUGCCCUUUCAACUAGAUGGUAAUCUAUUGGACUACCAUGGUUGUUACGGGUAACGGAGAAUUAGGGUUCGACUCCGGAGAGGGAGCCUUAGAAACGGCUACCACGUCCAAGGAAGGCAGCAGGCGCGAAACUUAUCCACUGUUGAGUAUGAGAUAGUGACUAAAAAUAUAAAGACUCAUCCUUUUGGAUGAGUUAUUUCAAUGAGUUGAAUAUAAAUUAUUCUUCGAGUAGCAAGGAGAGGGCAAGUCUGGUGCCAGCA
Molecule: non-coding RNA, 544 nt
Filed under: Caenorhabditis japonica
Lineage: Eukaryota; Metazoa; Nematoda; Chromadorea; Rhabditida; Rhabditidae
Description: Eukaryotic small subunit ribosomal RNA
Rfam family: Eukaryotic small subunit ribosomal RNA
Source: Rfam by way of RNAcentral